AGCUCCAGUAGCGUAUAUUAACGUUGUUGCAGUUAAAAAGCUCGUAGUUGGAUUUCUGACCUCGAGUGCUGCUUGCGCCGUGUCUUAGACGCGUGCGACAACGCAGCACCGGUCAUCCUCCGGGCGCCGUACAUUGCUUUUCACUGGGUGGAUGUACGCGCUCCCGGUCGUUUACUUUGAACAAAUUAGAGUGUUUAAAGCAGGCUUUAUGCCUGAAUAUAUUAGCAUGGAAUAAUAAGAUAGGACUUCGGUCUUAUUUUGUUGGUUUCAAGGACUGAAGUAAUGAUUGAUAGGGAUAGUUGGGGGUGCUCGUACUCAUGUGGCCAGAGGUGAAAUUCGAUGAUUCACUGGGGACGAACUUAUGCGAAAGCAUUCACCAAGGAUGUCUUCUUUAAUCAAG
This 400-nucleotide ribosomal RNA is filed under the name phytoplankton environmental sample. RNAcentral describes it as "partial small subunit ribosomal RNA". It matches the Rfam family "Eukaryotic small subunit ribosomal RNA", at positions 587 to 981 of the family's 1831-position model. The record is from RNAcentral.